RNAcentral lists this small nucleolar RNA (138 nucleotides) under Ornithorhynchus anatinus (platypus). The record is from RNAcentral. Lineage: Eukaryota; Metazoa; Chordata; Mammalia; Monotremata; Ornithorhynchidae.
CUCCUCUCUAGAUCAUACUUGGAGAGUUUCCAGUACUCUACCGGUCUUGGCUACCAGAGGGAGAGUCAAGCAGAGGCCUACCCAUUCCAUUCCUAGCUUGGCCAGUGGCUAGCGAAUGGAAAGCAAUCUGCUACAAGU